RNAcentral lists this transfer RNA (65 nucleotides) under Dosinia japonica. RNAcentral's name for it is "tRNA-Leu". The record is from RNAcentral. Lineage: Eukaryota; Metazoa; Mollusca; Bivalvia; Venerida; Veneridae.
ACUAAGGUGGCAGAAAUAUGCGUCAAAUUUAAGCUUUGGAGAUAGAAUAGAUUUCUUCUUGGUAC